GAUGAACGCUGGCGGCGUGCCUAAUACAUGCAAGUCGAGCGAACAGACGAGGAGCUUGCUCCUCUGACGUUAGCGGCGGACGGGUGAGUAACACGUGUAUAACCUACCUAUAAUACUGGGAUAACUUCGGGAAACCGGAUCUAAUACCGGAUAAUAUAUUGAACCGCAUGGUUCAAUAGUUAAAGACGGUUUUUCUUUCACUUAUAGAUUGAUCCGCGCCGCAUUAGCUAGUUGGUAAGGUAACGGCUUACCAAGGCAACGAUGCGUAGCCGACCUGAGAGGGUGAUCGGCCACACGGGAACUGAGACACGGUCAAGACGACUACGGGAGGCAGCAGUAGGGAAUCUUACGCAAUGGGCGAAAGCAUGACGGAGCAACGCCGAGUGAGUGAUGAAGGUCUUCGGAUCGUAAAACUCUGUUAUUAGGGAAGAACAAAUGUGUAAGUAAAUAUGCACGUCUUGACGGUACCUAAUCAGAAAGCCACGGCUAACUACGUG
This 497-nucleotide ribosomal RNA is filed under the name uncultured bacterium. RNAcentral's name for it is "partial 16S ribosomal RNA". It matches the Rfam family "Bacterial small subunit ribosomal RNA", at positions 28 to 507 of the family's 1533-position model. The record is from RNAcentral.